RNAcentral lists this ribosomal RNA (449 nucleotides) under uncultured bacterium. Its description in RNAcentral is "partial 16S ribosomal RNA". It matches the Rfam family "Bacterial small subunit ribosomal RNA", at positions 29 to 523 of the family's 1533-position model. The record is from RNAcentral.
AACGAACGCUGGCGGCAUGCCUAACACAUGCAAGUCGAACGAGAUCUUCGGGUCUAGUGGCGCACGGGUGCGUAACGCGUGGGAAUCUGCCCUUUGGUUCGGAAUAACAGUUGGAAACGACUGCUAAUACCGGAUGAUGACGAAAGUCCAAAGAUUUAUCGCCAGAGGAUGAGCCCGCGUAGGAUUAGCUAGUUGGUGUGGUAAAGGCGCACCAAGGCGACGAUCCUUAGCUGGUCUGAGAGGAUGAUCAGCCACACUGGGACUGAGACACGGCGCAGACUCCUACGGGAGGCAGCAGUGGGGAAUAUUGGACAAUGGGCGAAAGCCUGAUCCAGCAAUGCCGCGUGAGUGAUGAAGGCCUUAGGGUUGUAAAGCUCUUUUACCCGGGAUGAUAAUGACAGUACCGGGAGAAUAAGCUCCGGCUAACUCCGUGCCAGCCGCCGCGGUAA